This 386-nucleotide ribosomal RNA is filed under the name uncultured eukaryote. RNAcentral's name for it is "partial small subunit ribosomal RNA". It matches the Rfam family "Eukaryotic small subunit ribosomal RNA", at positions 587 to 972 of the family's 1831-position model. The record is from RNAcentral.
AGCUCCAAUAGCGUAUCUUAAAGUUGCUGCAGUUAAAAAGCUCGUAGUUGGAUCUCGGGAUCGAGCUGACGGUCCGCCGCGAGGCGAGCUACCGUCUGUCCCAGCCCCUGCCUCUCGGCGCCCCCUCGAUGCUCUUAGCUGAGUGUCCCGCGGGGUCCGAAGCGUUUACUUUGAAAAAAUUAGAGUGUUCAAAGCAGGCUUAGGCCGUUGGAUACAUUAGCAUGGAAUAAUAAGAUAGGGCCACGACGGUCUAUUUUGUUGGUUUGCACGUUGUGGUAAUGGUUAACAGGAAUAGUUGGGGGUAUUCGUAUUCAAUUGUCAGAGGUGAAAUUCUUGGACCGGCGCAAGACGGACGAAAGCGAAAGCAUUUGCCAAGAAUGUUUUCA